This 216-nucleotide ribosomal RNA is filed under the name uncultured bacterium. RNAcentral describes it as "partial 16S ribosomal RNA". It matches the Rfam family "Bacterial small subunit ribosomal RNA", at positions 524 to 740 of the family's 1533-position model. The record is from RNAcentral.
UACGGGGGGGGCUAGCGUUGUUCGGAAUUACUGGGCGUAAAGGGCGCGUAGGCGGUCUGCUAAGUUGGAUGUGAAACUCUGGGCUUAACCCAGAGCCUGCAUUCAAUACUGACAGGCUAGAGUUCUGGAGGGGAUAGCGGAAUUCCUGGUGUAGCGGUGAAAUGCGUAGAUAUCAGGAGGAACACCGGUGGCGAAGGCGGCUAUCUGGACAGAGUC